This 491-nucleotide long non-coding RNA is filed under the name Physcomitrium patens. RNAcentral's name for it is "long non-coding RNA (PPAT_LNC008895)". The record is from RNAcentral. Lineage: Eukaryota; Viridiplantae; Streptophyta; Bryopsida; Funariales; Funariaceae.
UAUGAGUUUUAGUUUUGGGUGAUUUGGAUCUGUAUUGACUUUGUAAUAGCUUUGCAAAUUCAAGGUUUGUUUCAGAUGACUUGGAUUUUAUGAAAUAAAAUAGGGUUUACGUUUUGGAUGAUUUCAAGAUUUUUAUUAUAGAUCUAUAAGUGAAAUUUUGUGGGUUUAUGGUUAUAGUUGUGUUUAAUAUGUAUCAUGAAUUUGAGCUUGAUCUAACGGUUGAAUUGAGAGAUAUUGAGGUUUAAGUGGGUCAAGAUCUUAGACAAUAGAAUUUUAGGUCCAAAGGGGGUUUUUGAGAUUUCUUGCAAUGUGUUUGUUGGAUUGGAGUGAAACUUGUGUGAGAGGAUAUAAGACUUGUUUUUCUAUGCAUAUGAGAAUUUUGUGCUCAAUCGAUAGGUGCAAAAGUGAGAUAUUGGCUCUAGAAGAUUGGCAUUAAGAUUGGAGAAGGAGGCCGACCAAUAUCUGAGCACAUUUUUGAGGAUAUCGUCAAU